Molecule: ribosomal RNA, 117 nt
Filed under: Chloroflexota bacterium
Lineage: Bacteria; Bacillati; Chloroflexota
Source: RNAcentral
CCUGGUGAUUAGAGCGAGGUGGCCCCACCCGUUCCCAUCCCGAACACGGAAGUGAAACGCCUUAGCGCUGAUGAUACUGCCUCGGCAACGAGGUGGGAAAAUAAGCCAUCGCCAGGG